UCUGUUUGUUCACUAUAAUUUUGUAUAAAUGCUUCGAAAGUUCAGAUUCAUGAUGCUCGUCAUCGUUGCUUUUUUUAUCUGUUUUGUCAGUGUUUUUUUUCUUUUCGUUCAUAUUAUUCUGUUUGUUCACUAUAAUUUUGUAUAAAUGCUUCGAAAGUUCAGAUUCAUGAUGCUCGUCAUCGUUGCUUUUUUUAUCUGUUUUGUCAGUGUUUUUUUCUUUUCAUUCAUAUUAUUCUGUUUGUUCACUAUAAUUUUGUAUAAAUGCUUCGAAAGUUCAGAUUCAUGAUGCUCGUCAUCGUUGCUUUUUUUAUCUGUUUUGUCAGUGUUUUUUUCUUUUCGUUCAUAUUAUUCUGUUUGUUCACUAUAAUUUUGUAUAAAUGCUUCGAAAGUUCAGAUUCAUGAUGCUCGUCAUCGUUGCUUUUUUUAUCUGUUUUGUCAGUGUUUUUUUUUCUUUUCGUUCAUAUUAUUCUGUUUGUUCACUGUAAUUUGUAUAAAUGCCUCGAAAGUUCAGAUUCAUAAUGCUCGUCAUCGUUGCUUUUUUAUCUGAUUUGCCUGUGUGGCAUGAUCUUUUCUCUGCUCUCAAACUAAAUCAUAAGGUGAUGAGUCGAGGUAAAUGGCAAAAGCUUUCUAUGAAUACUUAUACUCUUCGGGAGGAGCAGGCAAGAUGAACCGAAUGCAAAUUCCGAUGGGAAUUUCCACAAAAUGAACUCACGUUUAGUGGUCAUUCUCUCAAAUGCAGAGAUUGAGCAAAGCUUUACUUCAAAUGGGUCCCAUGAAGGCGUCGAGGCCGGAUGCCUCUUUUUUCAUUUCGUUCAUAUUAUUCCGUUUGUUCACUGUAAUUUUGUAUAAUUGCUUCGAAAGUUCAGAUUCAUAAUGCUCGUCAUCGUUGCUUUUUUAUCUGUUUUGUCAGUGUUUUUUUUUCUUUUCGUUCAUAUUAUUCUGUUUGUUCACUGUAAUUUGUAUAAAUGCUUCGAAA
Aegilops tauschii subsp. strangulata is the source of this 976-nucleotide non-coding RNA. The record is from RefSeq and is a predicted model, not a curated record. NCBI's taxonomy places the organism in Eukaryota, Viridiplantae, Streptophyta, Magnoliopsida, Poales, Poaceae.